GAUGCUAAUACCGGAUAACAACACUAGACGCGUGUCUAGAGUUUAAAAGAUGGUUCUGCUAUCACUCUUGGAUGGACCUGCGGUGCAUUAGCUAGUUGGUAAGGUAACGGCUUACCAAGGCAAUGAUGCAUAGCCGAGUUGAGAGACUGAUCGGCCACAUUGGGACUGAGACACGGUCCAAACUCCUACGGGAGGCAGCAGCG
Molecule: ribosomal RNA, 203 nt
Filed under: uncultured bacterium
Lineage: Bacteria
Description: partial 16S ribosomal RNA
Rfam family: Bacterial small subunit ribosomal RNA
Source: RNAcentral